Molecule: ribosomal RNA, 253 nt
Filed under: uncultured bacterium
Lineage: Bacteria
Description: partial 16S ribosomal RNA
Rfam family: Bacterial small subunit ribosomal RNA
Source: RNAcentral
UACGGAGGGUGCGAGCGUUGUCCGGAAUCACUGGGCGUAAAGGGCGCGUAGGUGGCCUGUGGAAGUCUGCGGUGAAAGCCCGGCGCUCAACGCCGGGUCGGCCGUGGAUACUCUCGGGCUUGAGCUUACUAGAGGCAGAUGGAAUUCCGGGUGUAGCGGUGGAAUGCGUAGAGAUCCGGAAGAACACCGGUGGCGAAGGCGGUCUGCUGGGGUAAUGCUGACACUGAUGCGCGACAGCGUGGGAGCAAACAGG